Long non-coding RNA from Quercus lobata, 747 nucleotides. RefSeq lists it as uncharacterized. The transcript has 3 exons. Lineage: Eukaryota; Viridiplantae; Streptophyta; Magnoliopsida; Fagales; Fagaceae. The record is from RefSeq and is a predicted model, not a curated record.
UCUCUCCAUGAAUCUUUAAUUUAAUUAAUUCCUUACAAAUCUACAUUUCUGAAUUUCGACUAUAUUAAAUUUAUAUUUCUUCUCAAUGAGUGUAUAUGUAUUGUUUGUGAAAAUGUUUGAAUGAGUUUUUAUUUUUUAAGUUAAUUUAUUUUUUUCUUUGUUCGUGACGUUCUCUUGGGCUUGCAUGCUUUUUCCUUUUGGUUUUGCAGUUAAAAGAGCUAAACUUUAAAUUGUGGACUGCUGAUGGAUUUUGGGCUUUGCUUAUCUUACAUCAUUUUGAUUUUUGAGCUAAGCACCUUCUUCUCAAUUUUUUACUGAACUCUCUCUUAAAAAAUUGUAAUUUGACUGCCCUCUACAGUUCAGAGUUUUAUGGAUUUUGUAAAAAUAUGAGUAUUUGGAAAUUAUGAAUCUUCUGAUUUUUAGAUUGAAGAUGAAGGAAAAAGUUAAUGAAGAAGGGAAAACUGUUUAGACCAACUCCUCUUGCCUGUGAUUUGAAAAUUCAAGAAAGUGUGAUAGAGAGCUUUGGGGAGGAAGUGAUGGGGACAAGGCUGAAGUAUUGGUGGCUAUGUUGAAGGUAACCAUGGAUUUGGUAAUAGAUCUGAAUAUUUUGAAACUUUUUUUUUGGGACGCUAAUUUAUUUUAUUUGUGAAAAUGGUUCUCUUGUGCUAAAAAUUUGGACUUUGUGCAUGUAAAAAUGGAUGCUCAUUGAGGAUGUGUUGGAGAAACUCUUAGGUUUCUUCAUAAAAU